RNAcentral lists this ribosomal RNA (497 nucleotides) under uncultured bacterium. Its description in RNAcentral is "partial 16S ribosomal RNA". It matches the Rfam family "Bacterial small subunit ribosomal RNA", at positions 28 to 507 of the family's 1533-position model. The record is from RNAcentral.
GAUGAACGCUGGCGGCGUGCCUAAUACAUGCGAGUCGAGCGAACGGACGAGAAGCUUGCUUCUCUGAUGUUAGCGGCGGACGGGUGAGUAACACGUGGAUAACCUACCUAUAAGACUGGGAUAACUUCGGGAAACCGGAGCUAAUACCGGAUAAUAUUUUGAACCGCAUGGUUCAAAAGUGAAAGACGGUCUUGCUGUCACUUAUAGAUGGAUCCGCGCUGCAUUAGCUAGUUGGUAAGGUAACGGCUUACCAAGGGAACGAUGCAUAGCCGACCGGAAAGGGUGAUCGGCCACACUGGAACUGAGACACGGUCCAGACUCCUACGGGAGGCAGCAGUAGGGAAUCUUCCGCAAUGGGCGAAAGCCUGACGGAGCAACGCCGCGUGAGUGAUGAAGGUCUUCGGAUCGUAAAACUCUGUUAUUAGGGAAGAACAUAUGUGUAAGUAACUGUGCACAUCGUGACGGUACCUAAUCAGAAAGCCACGGCUAACUACGUG